This 395-nucleotide ribosomal RNA is filed under the name Apocalathium aciculiferum. Its description in RNAcentral is "partial Bacterial large subunit ribosomal RNA". It matches the Rfam family "Bacterial large subunit ribosomal RNA", at positions 784 to 1178 of the family's 2925-position model. The record is from RNAcentral. Lineage: Eukaryota; Dinophyceae; Thoracosphaerales; Thoracosphaeraceae.
UAGUGUUGCAAAACUAGCGGAUGAGCUGUGGAUAGGGGUGAAAGGCUAAACAAACUUGGAAAUAGCUGGUUCUCUCCGAAAACUAUUUAGGUAGUGCCUCAAGUAUUACCGUCGGGGGUAGAGCACUGUUUUGGCUAGGGGGUCAUGGCGACUUACCAAACCAAGGCAAACUCCGAAUACCGACGAGUACAGCUUGGGAGACAGAGCACCGGGUGCUAACGUCCGGACUCAAGAGGGAAACAACCCAGACCGCCAGCUAAGGUCCCUAAAACGGGCUAAGUGGGAAACGAAGUGGGAAGGCUAAAACAGUCAGGAUGUUGGCUUAGAAGCAGCCAUCAUUUAAAGAAAGCGUAAUAGCUCACUAGUCGAGUCGGCCUGCGCGGAAGAUGUAACGG